This 544-nucleotide ribosomal RNA is filed under the name uncultured bacterium. RNAcentral describes it as "partial 16S ribosomal RNA". It matches the Rfam family "Bacterial small subunit ribosomal RNA", at positions 355 to 891 of the family's 1533-position model. The record is from RNAcentral.
UGGGGAAUUUUGGACAAUGGGGGCAACCCUGAUCCAGCCAUCCCGCGUGUGCGAUGAAGGCCUUCGGGUUGUAAAGCACUUUUGGCAGGGAAGAAAUAGGUCUGGCUAAUAUCUAGACUGAAUGACGGUACCUGCAGAAUAAGCACCGGCUACUACGUGCCAGCAGCCGCGGUAAUACGUAGGGUGCAAGCGUUAAUCGGAAUUACUGGGCGUAAAGCGUGCGCAGGCGGUUCGGAAAGAAGGAUGUGAAAUCCCAGGGCUUAACCUUGGAAUGGCAUUCUUAACUACCGGGCUAGAGUAUGUCAGAGGGGGGUAGAAUUCCACGUGUAGCAGUGAAAUGCGUAGAGAUGUGGAGGAAUACCGAUGGCGAAGGCAGCCCCCUGGGAUAAUACUGACGCUCAUGCACGAAAGCGUGGGGAGCAAAACAGGAUUAGAUACCCUGGUAGUCCACGCCCUAAACGAUGUCAACUAGCUGUUGGGGGCCUUCGGGCCUUAGUAGCGCAGCUAACGCGUGAAGUUGACCGCCUGGGGAGUACGGUCGCAA